CCUAAGUCGGAUUAGCUAGUUGGUAGGGUAAAGGCCUACCAAGGCGACGAUCUGUAGCGGGUCUGAGAGGAUGAUCCGCCACACUGGGACUGAGACACGGCCCAGACUCCUACGGGAGGCAGCAGUGGGGAAUAUUGGACAAUGGGGGGAACCCUGAUCCAGCCAUGCCGCGUGUGUGAAGAAGGCCUUUUGGUUGUAAAGCACUUUAAGCGAGGAGGAGGCUACCUAGAUUAAUACUUUAGGAUAGUGGACGUUACUCGCAGAAUAAGCACCGGCUAACUCUGUGCCAGCAGCCGCGGUAAUACAGAGGGUGCGAGCGUUAAUCGGAUUUACUGGGCGUAAAGCGUGCGUAGGCGGCCAAUUAAGUCAAAUGUGAAAUCCCCGAGCUUAACUUGGGAAUUGCAUUCGAUACUGGUUGGCUAGAGUAUGGGAGAGGAUGGUAGAAUUCCAGGUGUAGCGGUGAAAUGCGUAGAGAUCUGGAGGAAUACCGAUGGCGAAGGCAGCCAUCUGGCCUAAUACUGACGCUGAGGUACGAAAGCAUGGGGAGCAAACAGGAUUAGAUACCCUGGUAGUCCAUGCCGUAAACGAUGUCUACUA
Molecule: ribosomal RNA, 597 nt
Filed under: proteobacterium enrichment culture clone E202
Lineage: Bacteria; Pseudomonadati; Pseudomonadota
Description: bacterial SSU rRNA
Rfam family: Bacterial small subunit ribosomal RNA
Source: RNAcentral